RNAcentral lists this ribosomal RNA (480 nucleotides) under uncultured bacterium. Its description in RNAcentral is "partial 16S ribosomal RNA". It matches the Rfam family "Bacterial small subunit ribosomal RNA", at positions 28 to 523 of the family's 1533-position model. The record is from RNAcentral.
GACGAACGCUGGCGGCGUGCUUAACACAUGCAAGUCGAGCGGUAAGGCCCUUCGGGGUACACGAGCGGCGAACGGGUGAGUAACACGUGAGCAAUCUGCCCUUCACUCUGGGAUAACCCCCGGAAACGGGAGCUAAUACCGGAUACGACCACUUCGGACAUCCGAUGGUGGUGGAAAGUUCCGGCGGUGAAGGAUGAGCUCGGCGGCCUUUCAGCUUGUUGGUGGGGUAACGGCCCACCAAGGCUUCGACGGGUAGCCGGCCUGAGAGGGUGACCGGCGACACUGGGAGUGAGACACGGCCCAGACGCCUACGGGCGGCAGCAGUGGGGAAUAUUGGACAAGGGGCGAAAGCCUGAUCCAGCAACGCCGCGUGAGGGAUGACGGCCUUCGGGUUGUAAACCUCUUUCAGCGCAGACGAAGCGAAAGUGACGGUAUGCGCAGAAGAAGCACCGGCCAACUACGUGCCAGCAGCCGCCGUAA